RNAcentral lists this unclassified non-coding RNA (390 nucleotides) under soil metagenome. RNAcentral describes it as "partial contains 5.8S ribosomal RNA, internal transcribed spacer 2, and large subunit ribosomal RNA". The stretch from base 1 to 122 matches the Rfam family "5.8S ribosomal RNA", at positions 35 to 154 of the family's 154-position model. The record is from RNAcentral.
GAUGAAGAACGCAGCGAAAUGCGAUACUUGGUGUGAAUUGCAGAAUCCCGUGAACCAUCGAGUCUUUGAACGCAAGUUGCGCCCGAAGCCAUUAGGCCGAGGGCACGCCUGCCUGGGCGUCACACGUCGUUGCCCCCCCAUCUACUCCUUCGGGAUUGCGGGGGGCGGAUGAUGGCCUCCCGUGCGCCUCGCCGCGCGGUUGGCAUAAAUGCCAAGUCCUCGGCGACGCACGCCACGACAAUCGGUGGUUGCGAAACCUCGGUUGCCCGUCGUGUGCGGUCGUCGCGCAUCGAGGGCUCGAAAAAAUUGCCGGGUUCCGGCUCGGCUUUCAACGCGACCCCAGGUCAGGCGGGGUUACCCGCUGAAUUUAAGCAUAUCAAUAAGCGGAGA